RNAcentral lists this ribosomal RNA (451 nucleotides) under Beenakia fricta. RNAcentral describes it as "partial 12S small subunit ribosomal RNA". It matches the Rfam family "Bacterial small subunit ribosomal RNA", at positions 461 to 951 of the family's 1533-position model. Lineage: Eukaryota; Fungi; Basidiomycota; Agaricomycetes; Gomphales; Clavariadelphaceae. The record is from RNAcentral.
GGAAAAUAAUGAUAUCACUUUACUAUUAGUGUUGUCCAAAACUGGUGCCAGAAGACUCGGUAAUGCCAGAGACGCGAGCGUUAGUCCUCUUGAUCAUGCGUAAAGGGUUUGUAGGCUGCUUUAAUGAAUUAUAAGCUAGAAUCAUAUAGAGGUCACUGUCAGAUAAUACUUAGAGUUAGGGUUGAUAUCUUUAGAUACUAAGUGGAAUUCUAAUUAGCGAAGGCUCUUUUCCAAUUAAUGAUUGACGCUGAGAAACGAAGGGGAGGAUAGACAAUAGGAUUUGAUACCCUGGCCAUCCCUCUCUGUCAACGAUGAAUGGUAGUUGCUAGUUCAAGAAGCUAGUGGCGAUGUUAACACGUUAACCAUUCCGCCUUGCGAGUACAAUUGCAAAAUUGAAAACAAAAAAAUUAGUCGGUUUCGGAGCAAACGAAGUGAAGCAUGUUAUUUAAUU